This is a long non-coding RNA of Sceloporus undulatus (fence lizard), 162 nucleotides long. RefSeq lists it as uncharacterized. The transcript has 2 exons. NCBI's taxonomy places the organism in Eukaryota, Metazoa, Chordata, Lepidosauria, Squamata, Phrynosomatidae. The record is from RefSeq and is a predicted model, not a curated record.
UGAAGGCUGCUUCUCGAGGUAUUAAGAAUCUAUCUUCUGUGGAGCAAAAGAAGAGGAAACAGGAGGAAAUGGAGAAGCGUCUUGAAUCUACAGGCCCUGGACCAGAGGGAGGUGGACUAAGAUGGCAAGUUGGAUAAAUUGACUCUCCACAUAUUUUCUGAA